CCCCACCCCAAAGACUCCUCUCAUACAUCAUGUUUUCUCCCUCAUCUCUCUCUACCGCCUACUGCGUGCUGAAAAUCGCCUACGGCAGCGGGCCACCUCCAAACACCCCCAAAUGUUCACCAGGUGAUCCUCGUCCCUUCCUCAUCCUUAAUCUCUUAACCAUUAUCUCUGAAACCCCCUAGAACUCGUCAUUUAGUAGAUCUUAGAAUUUCAAAAAAUCUAUAUUUACCCCUUUCCUGAUUUCUCCUCAAUUUGGCCUGUUUGAACUUGAAAGCUACGUUAAUUGAUUGCUCUUGAUGAGAUCAAUCAAUUGACGUUAGUUUUGGUUCAUUUUACGGCCAUCAAAAUCCAUUCAACCCCGUUGACCGGCCAGUUUCUUCUCUAAUUGCUCCAUUUUGUUUCUCCGGCUUGCCGGAAUCACUUUCAUCGAUAUGUUGGAACCCAAUAGGUAUGCCUCUCCCUCUUUUCAUUUUAUUUCUCGAUUUUAUUCUUAUUUUGUUCCUCUCAUUUCAGUUUAGUUUAGGAAGUAUGUGUUCAAAUUGCUUUGUGUUAAGCGUCUGAAAAUAAGAGAAUUUAAAAAUAAAAAAAAUAAAAAGACAGAAAUGAAAGAGAGAGAAAUUUUUGUAGUGAUCUUAGCUUCUGUUGCCUACUUCGCAUUUUUCUGGGUUUCUACGAGUUGUUUGAGGUCGAAACACCGCUGUUAAUUGCUGGAAUUGUUGCUGAACUCCAUUAGUUGCUUUCUUCAGACCUUUAUUUGGUCAUUCCUGUUAUAUUCCUUGCCAUUACGUAUGUUCAUAUUCAUCUGAAAAUUUUUAUUCAAGUCUAUAACAUGAAAAUUUGGUUUGUCUAUGCUGUUUUUGUGUUUAAUCAUCUAGAUCCAGCAUGUUUGAUUGCUAAAGUUGUUCAGAUCUCACUCUCUGUUAAUAUCUAAAGUUGUUAGUACGCUUUAACUGAAUGUUUAGGCGUAUUAAGUCUUGCUGAUGAAAUGUCACGUCUGUUUGUUGAUGUUUGAUUACUUGAAACCGAAGGUUCAUCUUUAAGUUGAUGUUAAAUGUGGCAAACUUGUGCAUCUAACCACCAGCUGGUCAGAUUCAUUUGUGAAAAUCCAGAUCAACAGGGUUAACCACAAGAAGUAUAUGAUUGGGGGAGGUCUUGUUGUUGGCUCUUCCCAGUCGAUGCAAGCAGUAGUAGAUAACAUGGAUUCAUAGUUUAUAGGCUAAAUUGUAAAAUUA
RNAcentral lists this long non-coding RNA (1232 nucleotides) under Nicotiana tabacum (common tobacco). Its description in RNAcentral is "long non-coding RNA (NTAB_LNC007701)". Lineage: Eukaryota; Viridiplantae; Streptophyta; Magnoliopsida; Solanales; Solanaceae. The record is from RNAcentral.